UGUUUCCCCAGGAAGCCAGCUGGAAAUACAACAAAACGCCUCUCCCGCUCCUUUAGCAAAACAUGUGUCAGAGCAACGCAAGAUUUGAUUGGGACUGCUUUACUUCGUUAACAAUUACAGCAGGAGUAGGGCUGAUUGGAGCCAUUGUACAGUGUCGGGAACAUACCAGGACACUGAGAAUAGUGUCAUGUCAUAAGGACCCAGAGCAGAUGGACCCUGCUGUGAUGCACAAAGGGAUGAAAUGGGAUUUUGUUGGCACCAAGACCUGAUUGCUUUGCCAGUUACCCUCACCCCUGGCUCACAAGGAAAGUGUAUGGAGGAGAUUCUCGAGGAACCACAUGAGUUUUAAUAUCAUAAGCUUCUGCCCUGAAUUGAAAGCCUACAUCAUCCUGUGCAUUUCACAAAAUCCUAAUGAAAACUACACGAAGCUCAAAGUAUAGAUAAACAUAUCAGUGUUGACAACCGUGAAACCACGCUAUCCAAAGGCUACGAGCUCUGAGGAAUUCCUGUUAGCUACAGCACAUGUAGGAUCAAUGAAGGAAGAAAAUGAAGCCUCCUGGGAGACAAAAUUAUGCCAGGACAAAGCUGAAGAAGAGCAACACCUGUCGGAAAUGUCCUAAGAUAAAUUUUGAAAGGUGCCAGGCUUGGAGGUGGGGCAGGCACCGCCGGAAGAGACACCUUCCCUUUGGGGCUUUCUUUGCCUGUGACAAGAACAGCACUUGAUGCCCUUAGAAUAGUUCCUGGAACAUCUGAAUAAAUAUCUGUGGAAUGGCUGAA
Molecule: long non-coding RNA, 777 nt
Filed under: Homo sapiens (human)
Lineage: Eukaryota; Metazoa; Chordata; Mammalia; Primates; Hominidae
Description: lncRNA negative regulator of fibroblast-like synoviocyte migration, SYNCRIP interacting
Source: RNAcentral